RNAcentral lists this ribosomal RNA (316 nucleotides) under Glaesserella parasuis. Its description in RNAcentral is "partial 23S ribosomal RNA". It matches the Rfam family "Bacterial large subunit ribosomal RNA", at positions 2611 to 2925 of the family's 2925-position model. Lineage: Bacteria; Pseudomonadati; Pseudomonadota; Gammaproteobacteria; Pasteurellales; Pasteurellaceae. The record is from RNAcentral.
UUAGAACGUCGUGAGACAGUUCGGUCCCUAUCUGCCGUGGGCGUUGGAGAAUUGAGAGGGGCUGCUCCUAGUACGAGAGGACCGGAGUGGACGCAUCACUGGUGUACCAGUUGUCUCGCCAGAGGCAUUGCUGGGUAGCUAAAUGCGGAAGAGAUAAGUGCUGAAAGCAUCUAAGCACGAAACUCGCCUUAAGAUGAGUUCUCCCUAGCUAUAAGCUAGUAAGGGUUGUUGAAGACUACGACGUAGAUAGGUCUGGUGUGUAAGCGGUGUGAGCCGUUGAGCUAACAGAUACUAAUUGCCCGAGAGGCUUAACUAU